RNAcentral lists this ribosomal RNA (655 nucleotides) under uncultured bacterium. RNAcentral describes it as "bacterial SSU rRNA". It matches the Rfam family "Bacterial small subunit ribosomal RNA", at positions 56 to 757 of the family's 1533-position model. The record is from RNAcentral.
UGCAAGUCGAACGGAUCCUUCGGGAUCAGUGGCGGACGGGUGAGUAACGCGUGGGAACGUGCCCUUUGGUACGGAACAACUGAGGGAAACUUCAGCUAAUACCGUAUGUGCCCUUCGGGGGAAAGAUUUAUCGCCAUUGGAGCGGCCCGCGUUGGAUUAGGUAGUUGGUGAGGUAAAGGCUCACCAAGCCUACGAUCCAUAGCUGGUCUGAGAGGAUGACCAGCCACACUGGGACUGAGACACGGCCCAGACUCCUACGGGAGGCAGCAGUAGGGAAUCUUGCGCAAUGGGCGAAAGCCUGACGCAGCCAUGCCGCGUGAAUGAUGAAGGUCUUAGGAUUGUAAAAUUCUUUCACCGGGGACGAUAAUGACGGUACCCGGAGAAGAAGCCCCGGCUAACUUCGUGCCAGCAGCCGCGGUAAUACGAAGGGGGCUAGCGUUGCUCGGAAUUACUGGGCGUAAAGGGAGCGUAGGCGGAUAGUUUAGUGAGAGGUGAAAGCCCAGGGCUCAACCUUGGAACUGCCUUUCAUACUGGCUAUCUUGAGUACGGGAGAGGUGAGUGGAACUCCGAGUGUAGAGGUGAAAUUCGUAGAUAUUCGGAAGAACACCAGUGGCGAAGGCGACUCACUGGCCCGUUACUGACGCUGAGGCUCGAA